GACGAACGCUGGCGGCGUGCUUAACACAUGCAAGUCGAACGGAAAGGCCCUGCUUUUGUGGGGUGCUCGAGUGGCGAACGGGUGAGUAACACGUGAGUAACCUGCCCUUGACUUUGGGAUAACUUCAGGAAACUGGGGCUAAUACCGGAUAGGAGCUCCUGCUGCAUGGUGGGGGUUGGAAAGUUUCGGCGGUUGGGGAUGGACUCGCGGCUUAUCAGCUUGUUGGUGGGGUAGUGGCUUACCAAGGCUUUGACGGGUAGCCGGCCUGAGAGGGUGACCGGCCACAUUGGGACUGAGAUACGGCCCAGACUCCUACGGGAGGCAGCAGUGGGGAAUAUUGCAAAAUGGGCGGAAGCCUGAUGAAGAAACGCCGCGUGCGGGAUGACGGCCUUCGGGUGGUAAACCGCUUUCGCCUGUGACGAAGCGUGAGUGACGGUAAUGGGUAAAGAAGAACCGGCUAACUACGU
Molecule: ribosomal RNA, 467 nt
Filed under: uncultured bacterium
Lineage: Bacteria
Description: partial 16S ribosomal RNA
Rfam family: Bacterial small subunit ribosomal RNA
Source: RNAcentral